CAGCCAUACUUCAUGUUAGGAUGGCUUCAAAGAAGGUUGAACUUAAGCUCUUUAAAGUUAUAUUCAAAAGAUAAGUUUGUUUUUUUUUUUUGUUAUAAAAAUUACUCUGAUCUCAAAAUAAACAAUGGAUACAAAACUAGGUUAAGAGUUUGGGCAAAUUAUAAAAGGCAUGUAAGGUUGUAAGACAGUUUUAAAAGACAGGAAGAUCUGUAAAGGAUCUCAUGUGAUUGAGGUGAUAAAUUUAUGUGUUUUGGGAGAGGCAAAAUAGAUACCAAAGCUUCAUUAGUGUUAUUAUAGAAAUUGUUUCUUGGUUCAAAGCUACUAUACAAACUGAAUGUUUCUUGUCUCGUUUAUUUCAUUUUGUAUUUUCCUUAUAGAACUUUUUAAACAUUUGCCUGUUAAUGUUUUGAAGUACUCCUUCUAAUAGAACAAUCUGAGUUAAUUUGAGAUAAUGAGUCAUCACCUAUAGAACAAAACAGGACAUAGGCUGACUUCUAAUACUAAACCCAGUUAAAUGGAAGGGGUAAUAUAAAAAUAUGAACAUUAAAGUUACUGGUGAAACUGACCUGCUGGAUGAUUAAAACCCAACUUGGAGACCAAAGUCAAGGAAGUAAAAGGGCCAAGGAAAGAGCAGCCAACAUUUUGGCCCUUGCCCUCUAAGGUCAGCCAGGACACAGAGGACAGGACCCCCUUCAGGGCCCUGAAACUCUGGUGGGUAAGCCAACCUUCUGACCAGGAGGAUGGAGAAGACCCUACAGAACAGGAAGUUAACCAGUGCACAUUCUGCAAAGGGUCAUUGGAGAGGGAACUGUCCCUGAUACUUCCAAGAAAAGCCACAUGUGGUCAGCAAGACCCUGGCCCAUCCUGGCAGUUGGCACAACUGGUAGAGGAAAACCUAAAGGAGCCAAGAGUGAUCCCUGACAAAUCUUAACUCUGUAACAGUAAAUAAGGACAAGGUUAAUUUUUGACCAACUUGGCCUUCAACACCCGGCAGGAGAGUAUAAGUCAAAACACCGCCGUUCAUGGACAUUUAAAAGAUCAGGCAAUGGCUCCAUUACUAGAGAUGUACAUUUAUGUCAGUCCUCCUGAAAGUAAGUAAAACUGGGAGGUUACAAAAGAAGGGUUUUUAUACAGGAGUGCCUGAUAACUCACAAAAAUGUCUGCCAGAGUCACAAGCUUGUUCCCAGUCAAAUCGAGACCUAUGUGUGUUUCUUUCGUUCUUCCUCUGCUGUAAUUAUUAGGAACUACUGUCGAGACUCCUCUUCUGGCAUCCUUAAUCCGUCACUUGCAGCCUGGCAACUUGAUUUUAAUCAAGACCUGGAAAGAAGACAAGCGUCAAGCACCUGAAAGGACUUACCAAGUGCUUCUAAUCAUCAGGAUGGCUAUCGAAUGCUAAAAAGGGAGACCUCCUUACCGUGUGCAAUUUUCACCUCAAAAACUGUUAAACACCUGGGAUGGAUGGCAAUACCAAAGGAUUCAAAAGUGAAAAUGAGACCGACCGGUAGGAAAGAAAAGGGGGAGGGCUGUGAGAAAGAGCUGGUCCAGCCGCAGCCGCAGCCGUGUCCACGCAGGCUGUGACCCCGCCGCAGCUCUCCUGUCGGGCGGGGACAGCGCUGCGGCACUACGGACCACAGCGGGCGGGGGGCCGCCGGGGCUGCAGCCGGCCAGGCUCUGCAGCAGGCCCUGGGGCGGAAGCGCCCCGCAGAGCCACUCCACGCUCGCGUCUGACCCCUGGGCACCCCGUUUCCCAGCAGCACACAGCGGGCCCGGAGACAGCGGGCGACAGCCCGCCGUCAAAGGCAGGCUGCUGACCGGCGCCUCAGCCCCGCAUCUCGCUGGCGGGCGGGGACGGAAAGUGACGGGCGCCAUCUUCCUCCCGCCUCCCGGCGCACAAACACGGAACGUGCACAAGCCCACAGCUCAGGAUCCCGGCAGAUUCACCAGCGCCGGAUCACAAACGAGAGCGGAAGCGACCGGCGGUCCUCAGCGGCCCCCACAGCUGCCGGCCGGAAGCGGGUCCGCACUUCCGGGAUGAUGUCAUCACGCCGCGACUCCUGCCUCGCGGAUGGUGGACGCGACAGUGGCUGCGGCGUUGUGGCCCGGGGGCCGGGAGGGGGCGCCCCGGGUGGCCGUCCACGCUCUCGCCCGCCGUGCAGGGCGCGGUUCUCUCCGCACUCUGUGAGCCCGAGGACCGGAGGGAAGUCCCGCGUGCACAGGGCCGAGUGCAGCCCCCCGAGUCCGGGCCGGGACCACUCUCGGGGCCCGGUCCGUCUGGCCCCGGGAAAGCAAGCCCGACCCGGCACUUUUCAGCCCAGUGCGUUGGGCGGGAGCGGGAGACGCGAGGAGCAUCUCCUACAGCUGCGGCCGGGCCGUCUCCGAAUCCUCCAGAGGUGGCGGUCGGUGGGGCGUCGUGUUGUUUCAGAGCGGCGCAGAGAUGGGGCUCACGGCUACGGCGGGGAAAAAAACGGUCCCCCAGGGCAGAAAAACGGAAAUCGUCACGGAAGAGGCUUAAAAACUGGGAGCAACGAAGGGGAACGCCCCUCUCGCUUCGGGACGGCGGGGUGUUCGGGAAACGCGGGGCCUCUACAGAUGCAGUGUGUGCAGGUGGAGUUGCGAAUUGCUUAGUGCCUCUCCCUUGGCACCUCGAGGAGCCUCAGUCCACUCUUGCUGGAUUUCCAGUGGCAGCCAUUGAAGCAGACUGCAUUGAGGAAAAAGAAAGUGCUGGUGUCUCGUGACCUCAACCCAGAAUCCAGCAGAAACUCUAAUUGACACUUACACCUCUAUUAUGCAGCCCAGAAUAAUACAUAUCCUUAAUAGUAAAAAUACACUUUGCCCCCAUUGUUAUAAGAGAUGAUGAUGUUGAGAUAAAAUCAUCAGAGCUAUUCACGGCAUAAGUUAGGAUUUGACCUAGCGUCCUAGUUGCCCAGCACAAGUCCUUUGUCAAGUAGUUUCUAAGUUGCUGCUGACCUUUGGGAUUUAACUUAUAGGUAAAAGGGAAUGCUUGUGUUUUUUUCAUUUCGGUGUGGCAGUGACUAAGGCUGGGAGACAUUCAUUCAUUCAUUGAUUCAGAUCAACUGUUGUAUGCCAAGCCCUGUCUUUGGAGCUAGUGGUACAAAGGUGGACAAAAACGACAACAUCUCUUAAAAGUUUGAUUUGGUCAGAAAGAAAAAAACAAACAUAAGCUAGGGACAUUAUGAAGGAGACUGUGACUUAGUCUGGGAAGUAUAGAUACCAUCCCUGAGGAAAUGACAUUUGAACUCAGAGAUAUGGAUGAAAAAGUAAAUCUAUAUUUAUUAUAUUUAUG
This 3304-nucleotide long non-coding RNA is filed under the name Marmota monax (woodchuck). Lineage: Eukaryota; Metazoa; Chordata; Mammalia; Rodentia; Sciuridae. The record is from RNAcentral.